This is a long non-coding RNA of Cyprinus carpio (common carp), 1099 nucleotides long. RefSeq lists it as uncharacterized. The transcript has 4 exons. Lineage: Eukaryota; Metazoa; Chordata; Actinopteri; Cypriniformes; Cyprinidae. The record is from RefSeq and is a predicted model, not a curated record.
AAGACCUGUUGUGUUUAACCUGACAUCCUGCUGAGUUCUAGACCAUUAAUUCAGUAUUUUUAUUACAGCUUCAUCAUGGUGAACUCUUUGGCGCAAUCAACAACAUGCAAUUCUCAAAGAUGGUGAUAUUCAUGACCAGCAGUUACUCUGCAACAAUGUUCGAAGAUCUUUCCUGUAACGUAGAUGGUAAGGGGAAAAAAACUAACAGCCAUGCCUUAUAUGUAAUCAAAUCAUUUUCCAAAAAAUAAAAUAAAAUAAAAAAGUUCUGAUCUGCUCUGAUUCUGUCACCCAGCCUUUGCGUUUACUGCAUGUGACAGAUAUGUCCAGAGCUGUCCCAGUGAUUACGAUGAAAUCAGGAAAAUCUACUGCUCUGAUAAAUUCUCAUCUGCUUGGAUAAAGUUCAUUAAUGAGGCUGACUUUAAUACAGCAACAUUCCAAAAGAUGAUAGCUGCUAAACAAGCUAAUUACCUUAAACAAAAUACUGGUCCCUGCCCCUGCCAGUUCGGGAACACGACAAUCAGUCACUGUCACCUCAGUGAGUUUCUCAGUGAGUGACCCUCCAAGCUGAUCGAACAGCGUUCAAGAAAACAUCUUUCUGAUGGGGGCAAGAAAAUGACAUGAGUAAAUAAGAGUAAUCUGAUGACCUUUUUUGCUAGUCUUUUAUGUUGAUCAAGACUACAUGUGUUCAAUCCAAAAUAGAGCCUAAAACAGUAAUAUUGUGAGAAAUUUUGUAAACAAUAAAACUGGGAAUAAGGUUAAACGUCCAGUGAUUGUAUGUGUUAUUAAUCAUGCAUGAAUUUGACCCCCUCUUUAAUUCUGCAGAAACCAUUAAUCUUCCCCCAAUACUAAUACAUGUAUCACUGAACCUAGUUAUGUUAACCAAUAAAUAGAUGGUCUCACAAAUAAUGUUAUAAAGUGAUAAAGCUAUCAAGUGAAUGAUUCAUAUUGAAGCAACGAAAAUCAGAGAAAUAGAUGGUGAUCAAUUUCUGGCAAUCGUCAACUAAAAUGAAACAUAAAAGUAGCUUGAUUCCUUUGACAGGUGUAAAUGUUGAAUUUCAUUUACUGACGCUCUACAAUCGCCAGCGCUAAACCCCGAAGC